UCCCGUUUGUCCUCAGAAACAGGGAGCGUGCCCUGGCCUCCUUCCUCACAUUUGUGCAGUGACAGUUGUAUGUGUGGCGAUCUGGGUCAGCCUCAUGUAUAGUGCAUAUGGGGCUUAGCCUAGCAGCGAUCACGCAGAGCAGGCACUCAGGGAUAUUUUGUUAACAGAACUUUUACUUGAAUGAACGAAUGAACAAGUGAAGUGUGAAGGUCUUUACAGCAAAAUCAUUUUGCGUCCUCAGCUGUGACAUGGUGGCAUGGGUGUGGGGGCUCUGCCUUCUCCUCACAUGUCCAUAUACGGACGUGAGGCAGCGGGCAGGGGCUCCUCUGUGAGGUCUCACCCUCUCUGACCUCACAAUGCCCAGGGUGGCCUCUGGUUUCUAUAAGAGGCCGGGGGGUGGACCUCUGGCUCACAGCCCACAAAGUUCCACCUGCUCACAGGUUGGCUGGCUCAAUCAGGGUUGUGCCCCGAGCUCUGAGCCAACUCUAGGCCAAGUCCAUCCGGCACCAUGGUCAGAUACAGAUGCUGCCGCAGCCAGAGCCGGAGCAGAUGCCGCCGCCGGAGACGAAGAUGCCGACGCAGAAGGCGGUGCUGCCGGAGGCGAAGAGUCAGGAGGUGCUGUCGCCGCACAUACACCCUCAGGUGUAGACGAUACUAAACGCACAGAACAGCAGAUCCACCAGACUCCUGCCUGAGAAUUUUACCAGACUUCAAGACCCUCUCGUCACAUCUUGACAAAGCCAUCGUCCCAUGGCAAACAGGAGCCUGCUCAGGAACAAUGCCGCCUGUCAAUAAAUGUUGAGAUCAUCCCA
Ochotona princeps (American pika) is the source of this 812-nucleotide long non-coding RNA. RefSeq lists it as uncharacterized. The record is from RefSeq and is a predicted model, not a curated record. NCBI's taxonomy places the organism in Eukaryota, Metazoa, Chordata, Mammalia, Lagomorpha, Ochotonidae. The transcript has 2 exons.